This 71-nucleotide transfer RNA is filed under the name Loxodonta africana (African savanna elephant). It matches the Rfam family "tRNA". From Rfam's summary of the family: Transfer RNA (tRNA) molecules are approximately 80 nucleotides in length. Their secondary structure includes four short double-helical elements and three loops (D, anti-codon, and T loops). Lineage: Eukaryota; Metazoa; Chordata; Mammalia; Proboscidea; Elephantidae. The record is from Rfam by way of RNAcentral.
GCAUUGAUGGUUCAGUGGUAGAACUCUCGUCUUUCAUGCAGGAGACCUGAGUUCGAUUCCCAGCUAAGGCA